UAAAUCUUUAGGAGCGUCUGAAGUGGAUUUCGUUGUAUUGGAGUCGGAAAACAUUGUCGAUUGUUUUUACUAGUUUUGAUAGGAUGACGAACGACCUUUGCUUUGGUUUAGUAUGUGGCGUUCUGCAAUCGCAGCCGAAAACAAGCUGAUUGGUAAAAACUUCCAGAUGCAUGAAGCAAGUUUUGGCUUUGAAAUAUCUAUUGUUAAUUUGGUAGUGUUCUUGAUAACAAGAUUCCUUUGAAACCUUGAACCCAUAAAAAGAUUCGUAAAUA
RNAcentral lists this unclassified non-coding RNA (272 nucleotides) under Hevea brasiliensis (rubber tree). Lineage: Eukaryota; Viridiplantae; Streptophyta; Magnoliopsida; Malpighiales; Euphorbiaceae. The record is from RNAcentral.